UACGUAGGGCGCAAGCGUUGUCCGGAAUUAUUGGGCGUAAAGAGCUCGUAGGCGGUUUGUCGCGUCUGUCGUGAAAGCUUGGGGCUUAACCCCAAGUCUGCGGUGGAUACGGGCAGACUAGAGGCAGGUAGGGGAGAACGGAAUUCCCGGUGUAGCGGUGAAAUGCGCAGAUAUCGGGAGGAACACCGGUGGCGAAGGCGGUUCUCUGGGCCGACACUGACGCUGAGGAGCGAAAGCGUGGGGAGCGAACAGG
This 253-nucleotide ribosomal RNA is filed under the name uncultured bacterium. RNAcentral describes it as "partial 16S ribosomal RNA". It matches the Rfam family "Bacterial small subunit ribosomal RNA", at positions 524 to 776 of the family's 1533-position model. The record is from RNAcentral.